GAUGAACGCUGGCGGCGUGCUUAACACAUGCAAGUCGAACGGAGUUGUUUCGCUGACGAGACUUCGGUCAAAUCUUGAAGCAACUUAGUGGCGGACGGGUGAGUAACGCGUGGGUAACCUGCCAUAUACAGGGGGAGUAACACUUAGAAAUAGGUGCUAAUACCGCAUAAGCGCACAGAGCUGCAUGGCUCAGUGUGAAAAACUACCGGUGGUAUAUGAUGGACCCGCGUCUGAUUAGCUAGUUGGUGGGGUAACGGCCUACCAAGUCGACGAUCAGUAGCCGGACUGAGAGGUUGACCGGCCACAUUGGGACUGAGAUACGGCCCAGACUCCUACGGGAGGCAGCAGUGGGGGAAUAUUGGGCAAUGGGCGAAAGCCUGACCCAGCAACGCCGCGUGAAGGAAGAAGGCCUCGG
This 415-nucleotide ribosomal RNA is filed under the name uncultured bacterium. RNAcentral describes it as "bacterial SSU rRNA". It matches the Rfam family "Bacterial small subunit ribosomal RNA", at positions 28 to 420 of the family's 1533-position model. The record is from RNAcentral.